UGGCUCAGGAUGAACGCUGGCGGCGUGCUUAACACAUGCAAGUCGAACGGUGAAGGAGAGCUUGCUCUCCGGAUCAGUGGCGAACGGGUGAGUAACACGUGAGCAAUCUGCCCCUGACUCUGGGAUAAGCGCUGGAAACGGCGUCUAAUACCGGAUACGAGCUGCGAAGGCAUCUUCAGCAGCUGGAAAGAACUUCGGUCAGGGAUGAGCUCGCGGCCUAUCAGCUUGUUGGUGAGGUAAUGGCUCACCAAGGCGUCGACGGGUAGCCGGCCUGAGAGGGUGACCGGCCACACUGGGACUGAGACACGGCCCAGACUCCUACGGGAGGCAGCAGUGGGGAAUAUUGCACAAUGGGCGCAAGCCUGAUGCAGCAACGCCGCGUGAGGGACGACGGCCUUCGGGUUGUAAACCUCUUUUAGCAGGGAAGAAGCGAAAGUGUAC
RNAcentral lists this ribosomal RNA (441 nucleotides) under Microbacterium sp. Its description in RNAcentral is "bacterial SSU rRNA". It matches the Rfam family "Bacterial small subunit ribosomal RNA", at positions 20 to 461 of the family's 1533-position model. The record is from RNAcentral. Lineage: Bacteria; Bacillati; Actinomycetota; Actinomycetes; Micrococcales; Microbacteriaceae.